GGAUAAUCUGACCUUAGGUGGAGCAUAACCUCGGGAAACUGAGAAUAAUACUCCAUAGAUCUUUGAGGCUGGAAUGCGCUUAGAUUGAAAGCUUCGGCGCCUAAGGAUGAGUCUGCGGACUAUCAGGUAGUAGUCAGGGUAAAGACCUGACUAGCCUACGACGGAUACGGGUUGUGAGAGCAAUAACCCGGAGAUGAUAUCUGAGACACGAUAUCAGGCCCUACGGGGCGCAGCAGGCGCGAAAACUUCACAAUGCGCGAAAGCGCGAUGAGGGGAUCCCAAGUGCUUGCACGUAAGUGUAAGCUGUUUUUCUGUCUAAAAAGCAGAGAGAGUAAGGGCUGGGUAAGACGGGUGCCAGCCGCCGCGGUAAUACCUGCAGCCCAAGUGGUGGCCGUUAUUAUUGGGCCUAAAACAUCCGUAGCCGGCUGAGUAAAUGCCUGGGUAAAUCGUGUGGCUUAACCAUACGAAUUCCGGGUAGACUGCUCGGCUUGGGACUGGAAGAAGUUAGAGGUACUCCUGGGGUAGGGGUGAAAUCCUGUAAUCCUGGGGGGACCACCAGUGGCGAAGGCGUCUAACUAGGACGGGUCUGACGGUGAGGGAUGAAGCCCUGGGGCGCAAACCGGAUUAGAUACCCGGGUAGUCCAGGGUGUAAACGCUGCUUGCUUGAUGUUAGCUGGGCUCCGAGCUCGGCUAGUGUCGGAGAGAAGUUGUUAAGCAAGCUGCCUGGGAAGUACGGUCGCAAGACUGAAACUUAA
This 755-nucleotide ribosomal RNA is filed under the name uncultured archaeon. RNAcentral describes it as "bacterial SSU rRNA". It matches the Rfam family "Archaeal small subunit ribosomal RNA", at positions 102 to 859 of the family's 1478-position model. The record is from RNAcentral.